Solanum lycopersicum (tomato) is the source of this 1832-nucleotide long non-coding RNA. RefSeq lists it as uncharacterized. Lineage: Eukaryota; Viridiplantae; Streptophyta; Magnoliopsida; Solanales; Solanaceae. The record is from RefSeq and is a predicted model, not a curated record.
AUCACAAUUUCGAGAGCAUCUAGCCUCGAUCACAAGUAACAGGUAUCACAUUCAUGGAAGGUAAAAAAACUUCUUGUUGUGAUUGUGAGAAGAGGGGUCCCGACCAUAAUGAUUCACGUGAAUUUCAAAAGGCAGUAGUUUUGAAAUCUAUUUUAAUGUCCCGUAAACUUCCAAAAACUUCUCCCCCAUAAAAUCAAUUAAUCUAAUCAAUUUUGGACAAGAAUUCCCUUCAAUCAUUUUUUUUAACUUAAGGAAUUAUGUUAUGACCACUUCUUCUGACCGACCUACGGAAGCUGCUUGUUAAGGUUUAGGUGCCUCUAUUUUCUAACCUCAUUCAAUGAAAGGGAUUGGACAACAUAUCUCGAAUGAGUUUUUUCCCAACACUAGCAGAUCUGAAGUGGGAAACCAUCAACAUGUAAGAUUUGGUUCACAUCCUCAUAUGAGUCAUGGUACUCUAGCCAUGAAUCAUCCUUUUCAAUAAAUGGCUGAAUUCUUCCACCACAUGGUUUAAUCGAUGCAUGAUCCCAAUGGGAUUUACUUUUAGAAAAUAAGGAAAAUGGGUGGAGUGGAGUUUGAAGUCACUAUUGAUCCCAUUGCUGCUGAAAAAUGGCCAGAUCGCAUGGGGAGGGUGUUUGAGCAGUUGGAGUGUUCAAAUGUUGCGAAACAUAAGUAUGCUAUUUCACUAUUACAAUAGGAUGCUUAGAUUAGUGGGUACGUGUUCCAAAUGCCAAGGUAAAACCUCCUAUUUUUAAUUGGUUGAUUUUCUUAAGGUAUAUCGUGUGAAGUAUGUACCACAUGCUUAUUUUAAUGCAAAGAAAAAGGAGUUUUUGAAUCUAAGGCAGUGAGGCAUAUCUAUUGCUAAAUAUGAACAAAAGUUUCUACAUCUCUCUCGCUGCUGGAGGUAUUAUUAAAAAGGAAAAAGACUAGUGUAGGAAAUUUGAACAUGGUUUAAAUGAUUUCAUUAGGAAGAAUGUGGAAAUCCGGCAACAUGAGAACUUUUGUAAGUUAGUGUCUACUACUUUUACUUGGGAACGACUUGAUAAAGAACAAGCUAGUAGAAAUGAAAACAAAUUUCGAAAUCCUUGACAAAAUUUUGGAGGUCCAUCAAAAAGGGAAAUAUUUGAUAGUUCUAAGGCUAGUAGUGAUAACAUGCCAGCACAACAAAAGCAAAACAAAUCAGAUUUUUCUAGAGCUAACACUCCAAAUUAUGGUCAAGGCAAGCCUCGCAUUCCCACUUGUCCGCAAUAUGGAAAGAAUCAUUAUGGUUCUCCUAGGAUAGCCUCUAUUGCAUGUUUUAAUUGUCAGAGCUUUGAUCAUAAAGUGAAGGACUGGCGUAAUCCUAAUAAUGCUCCUUCCUUGAAAACUAAAGGUUCAGUUCAUAAGCCUCCUGUUAAUCCUCCUCAAACUAAUAAAGGUGCAAGGCCUAGAUAAAACAAAGUAGCAGGUGCAAGUGGAGAUAAUCAAGCUAGUGGACAAAGAGGUACUGCACGCGUUUAUGCUUUGAGGAAGACGGAUGAUUAAGAUAGACAAGACGUGGUUGUCGGAGAAAGAACUUUAUGCUAAACUUUAUAAGUGGGAAUUUUGCCUUGAUGAAGUGUCAUUUCGGGGAUAUGUUGUAUCAAGUGAAGGCGUGAAGGUGGAUCCUAGCAGUUGUUUAUUUGAGACCUCCAAAAAGUCCGACUGAGGUAAGAAGUUUGUUGGGCUUAGCAACAUACUAUAGAAGAUUCGUGAAAUGCUUCUCCAUUAUUGCCUCCUCUUUUUCUGGACUCUUGUAUAAGGAACUAAAGUUUAUUUGUGAUGAAAAAUGUCAAAAGAGCUUUAGAACUCUCAAA